GCAGCCACUCAUUCAAAGAGUGCGUAAUAGCUCACUGGUCGAGUGAUCCUGCGCCGAAGAUUUCCGGGGCUAAAACUUACUACCGAAGCUACGGCAUCAGUAAUGAUGGGUAGGGGAGCUUCCCAUACGGGUUGAAGCAUGACCGUAAGGACAUGUGGACAGUAUGGGAGUGAGAAUGUUGGCAUGAGUAGCGAGAUGUGGGUGAGAAUCCCACAGGCCGUAAACCCAAGGUUUCCAGGGGAAGGUUCGUCCGCCCUGGGUUAGUCGGGACCUAAGCUGAGGCCGAAAGGCGUAGGUGAUGGACAACAGGUUGAUAUUCCUGUACUACCGAUAACCAUUUGAGAGAAGGGAUGACACAGUAGGAUAAGCUAAGCACACUGUUGGUUAUGUGUGCCCAAGCAUUGAGGCAGUCAAAGUAGGCAAAUCCGCUUUGAUAAUGCUGGGAUGUGAUGGGGAGCGAAAUUUAGUAGCGAAGUAGCUGAUUUCACACUGUCAAGAAAAGUCUCUAUCGAGGUUAAAGGUACCCGUACCGCAAACCGACACAGGUGGGUGAGGAGAGUAUCCUAAGGCCA
RNAcentral lists this ribosomal RNA (572 nucleotides) under Clostridioides difficile. RNAcentral's name for it is "partial 23S ribosomal RNA". It matches the Rfam family "Bacterial large subunit ribosomal RNA", at positions 1112 to 1689 of the family's 2925-position model. Lineage: Bacteria; Bacillati; Bacillota; Clostridia; Peptostreptococcales; Peptostreptococcaceae. The record is from RNAcentral.